Molecule: long non-coding RNA, 501 nt
Organism: Macrobrachium nipponense
Lineage: Eukaryota; Metazoa; Arthropoda; Malacostraca; Decapoda; Palaemonidae
Exons: 3
Source: RefSeq, a predicted model, not a curated record
AAAGGAAAGCUACCAUUUACUGAUCUUCCUAUCUGCAAAGUUGUCAUCAGAGCAUGCUUAAGAAACUACAGAAAGGCAAAAUUAUCCGAAGUGGAAGACGAAAUAAGUGAAGCCCUGAAGCAUGUCCCUAAAAGACAAGGUGGCCUAAAGUAUAAGGAUCCUGAACCUAAAAGACCCAAUUAUUUAACAGCACAAGAGUCAUCCGAUUCAGAAAACUAGGCGCAGAUUAAAUCAAGACAGAGUGCAAGGUUCAGUGGCCCAGGAAGGUCAUACAGUAUGAGGCCCUCCACACACACACACACACACACACACACACACACACACACACACACACACACACACUCCUGCCAUCAUACUUCCCACUCUCUAUACCACAUAACCAUCAUUUACCACCUGCUACUACUUAAUGUAGUAAUUGUUGAUGUGCAAGCAAGUCCGCACCAAGUCUACCUCGCUCCUAAGAACCUUCUUGUGCAAGAUAAAAUUCAUGAUCUUAUAAUU